CCAGGGGCAACAGAGAGAGAGAUAAGCUGCUUCUAAUGGCCGGGAAACGGUCUUUUUGUGUGGACUUAUCUCAAGGAAAAUGGCCAUCUCAGGAGGUAUGCACAUGACUCUUGCUCAAGCACCCAGGAAUGUCACGUAGGCAGCAGAAAAUGGAGGAUAAAAGAGGGUCCAACAACCACGGCGUCGUGGAGGCUGAUCUCUCAGCGCAACACGGAGGCUGAUCUCUCAUGAUCUCUCACCACGACACGAGCUUUCUGCCUUCAGAUCCUUCUCUACCGACCGUUUGCUGACGGACUUCCCUGGGCCUGCUACCUGAGACCUGCUGCUUCCUCCCUGACCUGCACCCUCUCGUUGCCCAAGACCGGCCUCACUGCUCCUGCCUUUCGGCCUCGGACCAUCGGAACGUCGUGCAACGGGACUGCUGCUGGAUCCUGGUGUUUACGGGAUUUUAAAAGAAAAUGGAAAAAUUCUUGGAAGACAAAUCCAUCAAGGACUGCUUAUUCCAAAGCCACCAUCUUUGCAUCAAGAAGGAUGCUCACCUGGAGAGUUUCAAGUUUCUUUCUUUCAAUGUUCUGAGAAUUUAUAUGGAAAGAAAUUUCAUCUGUACAAUUUACUACACACAUUUAUGGUCCUUUUUGAAGGAAGGAAAGCACAAGGCACAAGGCAAAGAAUUUUGCAAGUGCAAAAUAAAUGUUGCUGAAUGAAGGAGAAUGGAGAAAAAUAUACUGCUUUGAGGCAUUUAGGUGAGAAAGCUGUCUGAAGGAUUACCUUAGGAUAUGGAAUAUGUUAGCACACGGGGGUUGUUUUUUUUUAAUUGCUUAUCACUAAUAGAAAUGAUUUCUAAUUGUUAAAAAAAUUAGAAUAUCUUUUUAGAGAAAGCUACCAAGUGCAAC
Molecule: long non-coding RNA, 893 nt
Organism: Gallus gallus (chicken)
Lineage: Eukaryota; Metazoa; Chordata; Aves; Galliformes; Phasianidae
Source: Ensembl